UACGUAGGUGGCGAGCGUUGUCCGGAUUUACUGGGCGUAAAGGGAGCGUAGGCGGACUUUUAAGUGAGAUGUGAAAUACCCGGGCUCAACUUGGGUGCUGCAUUUCAAACUGGAAGUCUAGAGUGCAGGAGAGGAGAAUGGAAUUCCUAGUGUAGCGGUGAAAUGCGUAGAGAUUAGGAAGAACACCAGUGGCGAAGGCGAUUCUCUGGACUGUAACUGACGCUGAGGCUCGAGAGCGUGGGGAGCAAACAGGAUUAGAUA
This 261-nucleotide ribosomal RNA is filed under the name uncultured prokaryote. RNAcentral's name for it is "partial 16S ribosomal RNA". It matches the Rfam family "Bacterial small subunit ribosomal RNA", at positions 524 to 784 of the family's 1533-position model. The record is from RNAcentral.